AGAACGAACGCUGGCGGCAUGCCUAACACAUGCAAGUCGAACGUGAUCCGGGGCUUGCUCCGGUGAAAGUGGCGGACGGGUGAGUAACGCGUGGGAACCUGCCCAGUGGUCGGGGAUAACUGCGGGAAACUGCAGCUAAUACCCGGUAAGCCCUACGGGGGAAAGAUUUAUCGCCAUUGGAGGGGCCCGCGUCGGAUUAGGUAGUUGGUGGGGUAAAGGCCUACCAAGCCUUCGAUCCGUAGCUGGUCUGAGAGGAUGAUCAGCCACACUGGGACUGAGACACGGCCCAGACUCCUACGGGAGGCAGCAGUGGGGAAUAUUGGACAAUGGGGGCAACCCUGAUCCAGCAAUGCCGCGUGUGUGAAGAAGGCCUUCGGGUUGUAAGCACUUUAUCCGGAACGAACGCGCAGGCGAAUAACCUUGCGAACUGACGGUACCGGAGGAAUAAGCACCGGCUAACUUCGCGCCAGCAGCCGC
This 477-nucleotide ribosomal RNA is filed under the name uncultured bacterium. RNAcentral describes it as "SSU rRNA". It matches the Rfam family "Bacterial small subunit ribosomal RNA", at positions 26 to 518 of the family's 1533-position model. The record is from RNAcentral.